RNAcentral lists this ribosomal RNA (865 nucleotides) under uncultured Methanosaeta sp. RNAcentral describes it as "bacterial SSU rRNA". It matches the Rfam family "Archaeal small subunit ribosomal RNA", at positions 1 to 873 of the family's 1478-position model. The record is from RNAcentral. Lineage: Archaea; Methanobacteriati; Methanobacteriota; Methanomicrobia; Methanotrichales; Methanotrichaceae.
UCCCGGUUGAUCCUGGCAGAGGUUACUGCUAUCGAGAUUCGACUAAGCCAUGCGAGUCGAAUGUUCUUCGUGAACAUGGCGGACUGCUCAGUAACACGUGGACAACCUACCCUUGGGUCUGGCAUAAUCCUGGGAAACUGGGUAUAAUUCCAGAUAGGUCACAGAUGCUGGAAUGCACUGUGGCCGAAAGCUACGGCGCCCAAGGAUGGGUCUGCGGCCUAUCAGGGUUGUAGUGGGUGUAACGGACCUACUAGCCUACGACGGGUACGGGUUGUGAGAGCAAGAGCCCGGAGAUGGAUUCUGAGACACGAAUCCAGGCCCUACGGGGUGCAGCAGGCGCGAAAACUUUACAAUGCGGGAAACCGUGAUAAGGGAAUCUCGAGUGCCAGCAUAUAAUGUUGGCUGUCCAGAUGCCUAAAAGCAUCUGUUAGCAAGGGCCGGGCAAGACCGGUGCCAGCCGCCGCGGUAACACCGGCGGCCCGAGUGGUACCGCUUUUAUUGGGUCUAAAGGGUCUGUAGCCGGCCAAGUAAGUCCCUUGGGAAAUCUGGCAGCUUAACUGUCAGGCUGCUAGGGGAUACUGCUAGGCUUGGGACCGGGAGAGGUGAGAGGUACCUUGGGGGUAGGGGUGAAAUCUUGUGAUCCUCGGGGGACCACCAGUGGCGAAGGCGUCUCCCAGAACGGGUCCGACGGUAAGGGACGAAAGCAAGGGGCACGAACCGGAUUAGAUACCCGGGUAGUCCUAGCCGUAAACGAUGCUCGCUAGGUGUCAGUCCGGUGCGACCGUGAUUGGUGCCGUAGGGAAGCCGUGAAGCGAGCCCCUGGGAAGUAUGGCCGCAAGGCUGAAACUUAAAGGAAUUGGCGGGA